Molecule: unclassified non-coding RNA, 450 nt
Filed under: Randia ciliolata
Lineage: Eukaryota; Viridiplantae; Streptophyta; Magnoliopsida; Gentianales; Rubiaceae
Description: partial external transcribed spacer
Source: RNAcentral
UGUGGAUCCCCGCCUGGAGCGGCGACGGCUUCCCUUGCAUUCCUCUUCAGUCGUUGGCCCAAGAGCUGCGUGACCAGCCUUGGCCGCCCGUGGGUUUCCUGUAUUGCAUACCUACCCGAAGGAAUUCGUACGUCACAACGACCCACGUUCUCCCAGCGCUGCGCCCGCUUCCGUGGUCGCGGCGUGGGGUGAACCGCGAAGGCGAGUUCGUGUUCCGAGCUGCAUCCGUGCGAUGCGUCGUCCCGGCCCACGAGCUGCUGCCUGAGCUCCCGGACGCAGUGCACCAGGAGGGCAGGGGGUGCUCGGCCACCUCCGUCUGCCCGAACUCGGCGAUCCAUCGCCCGCACCGAACGACUGCCGUUCGUCGCCUCGGAGGACGCCGCAUCCCUCGGGCCUGUCGGCCUCGUGCGACGCCGGCGUCAGUUAGGAAUGCUACCUGGUUGAAUCCUG